Non-coding RNA from Schizosaccharomyces pombe (fission yeast), 238 nucleotides. Lineage: Eukaryota; Fungi; Ascomycota; Schizosaccharomycetes; Schizosaccharomycetales; Schizosaccharomycetaceae. The record is from the annotation of a GenBank genome assembly.
UUCCUUCUGUAAUAGAUUAUUUUUUGACGAAGUAUUUUCUUGCAAGUAAUCAUCAUGUUGGCAUUUCCAAUAAAAGAAAGAAAACAGAUGUCUACCAAAAUCAGAUAUUUACCAAAAGGUUGGCUCAUACAACACUAUUCUAGGUGAAUACUGUUGCAGAGCUUCAGGAAAAUCGAUGGUAUAAGGACGUGACUCGAUAUUCUCCCACGCCUUCAAGGUGUUACAAACUUCAUCAUUU